UUGGAGGGCAAGUCUGGUGCCAGCAGCCGCGGUAAUUCCAGCUCCAAUAGCGUAUAUUAAAGUUGUUGCAGUUAAAAAGCUUGUAGUUGAAUUUCGGGAUCAAUUUAUCGGUCGUGCCUCUGGUAUGCACUGGUAUUAUUGAUUUCUACCUUCUGACGAACCAUGAUGUCAUUAAUUUGGUGUCAUGGGAAAUCAGGACUGUUACUUUGAAAAAAUUAGAGUGUUUAAAGCAAGCACACGCUUGAAUACAUUAGCAUGGAAUAAUGAAAUAGGACGUUUGACCCUAUUUUGUUGGUUUCUAGGAUCGACGUAAUGAUUAAUAGGGAUAGUUGGGGGCAUUAGUAUUCAAUUGUCAGAGGUGAAAUUCUUGGAUUUAUUGAAGACUAACUACUGCGAAAGCAUUUGCCAAGGAUGUUUUCAUUAAUCAAGAACGAAAGUUAGGGGAUCGAAGACGAUCAGAUACCGUCGUAGUCCUAACCAUAAACUAUGCCGACUAGGGAUCGGAUGAUGUUAAUUUUUAAUGACUCAUUCGGCGCCUUACGGGAAAC
Molecule: ribosomal RNA, 548 nt
Filed under: uncultured Glomeromycotina
Lineage: Eukaryota; Fungi; Glomeromycota
Description: SSU rRNA
Rfam family: Eukaryotic small subunit ribosomal RNA
Source: RNAcentral